RNAcentral lists this transfer RNA (73 nucleotides) under Mustela putorius furo (domestic ferret). It matches the Rfam family "tRNA". Rfam says of the family: Transfer RNA (tRNA) molecules are approximately 80 nucleotides in length. The record is from Rfam by way of RNAcentral. RNAcentral also lists the same sequence under 1 other name. Lineage: Eukaryota; Metazoa; Chordata; Mammalia; Carnivora; Mustelidae.
ACCCAGCUGGCUUAGUUGGUAGAGCAGGCAACUCUUGAUCUCAGAGGUGUGAGUUCAAGCCCCAUGUUGGGUA